Salvelinus fontinalis (brook trout) is the source of this 1522-nucleotide long non-coding RNA. RefSeq lists it as uncharacterized. The transcript has 2 exons. NCBI's taxonomy places the organism in Eukaryota, Metazoa, Chordata, Actinopteri, Salmoniformes, Salmonidae. The record is from RefSeq and is a predicted model, not a curated record.
UAUCGUGACGUAUAAUCUAGUGGACGGUUCUUAAAAAACAACAAGUCAACCACCUCGGUAGCUUGCUAGCCAACGUAGCCGAAAGAUUCAAGCUGUUUUUACGCUUUCGGUGUAUAUUAGCUGCUGUGUUUUAGACACACUUCUAUCGUAUCUACUUGUUAACCUACUUAAUUUAAUGUUACGUUAUUUUUUAUUAGUCAGAUAUAGUGGCUGGCUGGUUAAAUUAGCACUAGCUUAGUCGCUAAUGAUAGCUAGCUAGCUAAUAUCCCCGAACAUGAGGUCAGUAAGCUUCUCCCCUCCUGCUAAAGAAGAAGGGGUCUGCUGUCUACGGAGAAAGAAGCUCUGGGGCUGAACAUUGUAGUGAAAGAGGAGAAGGAAGAGGAGGAAGUCACAGUUAAAAAAUAAAUUGAGGGCGAGGCUGUUACAGUGAAAGAAGAGGAAGACGCGUUCACAGUGAAAGAGGAGGAUGAGAAAGAGGAUGCCGUUUUUGUCGUGAAGAAGGAAGGGGAGAUUACUGUCACAUUGAAAGAUGAAGAGGUGGAGGUAGGAGAUCUGAUUUACAUCAGAGAGAGACGUGACUAUCGUGGAUCCUCUGGGGAGCCUCAACAACAUCAUGAAGCUGACGAGGCAGAGAAGAGUCUCUCUCGAUCAGAACACCUCAAGAAACACCAGCAAAGACCCACAGGGAAGAAAUCUCACUGCUGCUCUGACUGUGGGAAAAGUUGCAAAUCUUCAUUAGAACUUAAAAUACACCAGCGAGUACACACAGGAGGGAAAUCUCACCACUGUUUUGAUUGUGGGAAGAGUUACUUAAGAUCAGAAUCACUAAAAGUACACAUGAGAAUUCACACUGGAGAGAAACCUUUUAACUGUACUCAGUGGGAAGAGGUUUAAUCACUCAAGCUGCCUGAUAGUACAUCUGAGAGCACACACAGGAGUGAAACCUUAUAGCUGUGAUCAAUGUGGGAAGAGAUUUGUUACAUCUAGCCAUCUGACUAUACACCAGAGAACACACACAGGAGAGAAAUCUUAUAGCUGUAGUCAAUGUGGGAAGAGUUUUAUUCAGUCAAGCAGCCUGGUAUCACACCAGAGAACACACACAGGAGAGAAAUCUCAUAGCUGUGAUCAAUGUCACAAGAGCUACUCUGAUAAAAGAUCUCUGAUCAAACAUCAGAAAAUACAUACAUGAAGGAGUUGUUUCAUGAUAUCAAUGAAAUGUCACAAUGUAGAAUAUUUGAAUGAUGUCACAAUGUAGAAUGUUUUAACAUUGUAGUAGGAAUACAAAGGAUUUGAAUUUGUUAAAAGUCCAUAUUGAUACAGAAACACUAAACCAUGAUUUAGAUGUAUUAAGAACAAGUUGAUUGACAAAGUCAUGAAAAAUGGAAUAAACCACAUUUUGGCUCUGAUAAAAGAUAUGGCUCUGGGGUCAAAAUGAUCCAUGUCAGAACUAUGGUUCAAUGUAAAUAUGUAGUGGGUCUAAAGUUUGUUUUAAAUUAUCACUCAUUAAACACGAAUCAAUCAA